CACACUUUAAGAGCCAUUGCUGUAGAUAUUUAAGGUAGUGAUCAGGUUCCUUCUCUCCUUAAUCUUCUCUGAGCCAAUGUCCCUACCUACUUCAGCUGCUUAUCACUUGACAUUACUUACUGGUUUGUCAUCCCUUUUAAGCCUGGUGCCCACAAAUGUAAUGAUUCUUUGGAGGAAGCUUAAUCAGCGCCUUAUACAUCAAAACAGUUGCCCCUCCUGGCUCUGCGCUUACCUAUGAGCUUUCUUUCUGCUUUCCUGGGUUGUCGGAUGGACCGGGCUUUCUCUGGGCCUUAAUGAAGCUGAUGUGUUAGGGAGGGCAACCGUAGGUAGAGCUAUUACUUAAACCCUAGGGGGACUAAGGAACUAAACACUUGUUUGGAGGAAGCAAGAAUUUUCUCUCCAGUGUAUCUCUGCUAUAAGGUGUUUGAAUAGAGUAGAGGUUUGUCUUGUGCAGAUUGAGCGUGUGAUCACAGGUGGGAUUUGGGAGUGUGACCCACACGGUAGCAGUGUCAGAGUCUCAGCAUUUGAAAGAACACCUGGGAGAAAAACAGUCAGUGCUCAGCUGAACCAAGUCUUUUGUCCCUGUCUUUCAGCAGAGGAACCUCUGAAAGAUGUUUCUAAAACAGUUUCUAAAAGAUGCAGAGACAAUAACCCCUUCUUGGAUUUCUCUUUAUUCUCCUGCUCCUUGCCUAAAAUUGCUUUCUCAUGCUUCGAGGUGGUCUUCUAGCUGUAUGUAGUUCAGGAGUUACCUUAUAGCCUAGUUGUGUCCUUCAUGGUGAAGUGGAUGUACCUGGAUGAGUUCAUAAGUGGACAUGUGUCCUUGGAUCAGCUGUCUUAAAUUCCUGGUCAGUUUGGGCCUGCCUUUCCUGCCUCUGCAGAAAAAAUCCUACCUGGAGCGGAGCGUGAAGGAAGCUGAGGACAACAUCCGGGAGAUGCUGAUGGCACGAAGGGCCCAGUAGGAAGCCUUAGGGGAAGCUCUUCCUCUUGACCCCUCCCAUUCCUGGUGAGGGCGGAGGGGCCUGUGUGGGGAGAUGGCCUCUGCUCUGCCCUGAUGGAUAUUUUAUUUGGACGGUCUGGUAAUCCUAUGUUUUGUACAUCACUCUGAGCUCCUUUCAGAUCCCAACCCUGUAUUUUUUUAUCCUGGCUCUGCCUGCCACCCAGGACACUCCUCUCCCCUGAGGGUGAGUCAUGAACUCCCAGGAGAGGGAAGAUGGGAGCCAGGACAGAUAGGGGGGCUCUACCCAAGCCUACUACUGGUCACAUACUGGUCAGACCAAUAAAAGGCACCUGUCCCACUCUGUGAAGUCUGCUUUUCUUGAGCUGAUGGAUGAGAACAGAAGAGGCAGAGGCUGUAUCCGUGUGCCACAGAGCUCCUCCCUGUGCCUCCCCAGGGCUGUGACCCUGCUCCUUCUGCACUGAAGCCUUCCCCCUUUUUCCCUUUUCUGUUCCUCUGAGUAAAUCCCUCAACUUUUGAGCCUCUAUGUAGUAUGCAGAUAAGAAGAAAGAAUACCAGGGCAUAGCUGAAUUUAAGUGAGCAGAACAGUGGUUCCUCGGUGGCAGUCUGCCUAAACAUUUCUUUCCCACUUCCUCCCAAACAUUCCAAAAGAAAAUUCAGUAAUAAACCAGCAGCACCUCUAAGACUGUGUCCCUUUGGCCAAUGUCAUAAGGUGGACACUACAGUCCUGAGGCCUCGCAGAGGCUAUGAGGCAGUGGUGUGCUGGAGCUGCCUUGUACUGGCUCAGGAGAGCAAAGUAUUCAGUUUUCAGAAAUUUUGUUGCAAGUCAGUUGUUACACAGCAAUUAUUAAAAAUUAAAUUGUGUAAAUUUAUAAUUAAAUUAUAUUAAAAGUGAGGAUAAAAAAUAUUCAAAACUUAUACCUUCCUAAAUACUUUACUAAAUCUGGCCAUUAUCUACCUGUUUUUUUGAAGUUAACAGUCUAUCGUAUCCGGAUGGUAGAAACACUAUAUAGUGGUGCGCUCUUGCACUUCCCUUCCCAGCUCUGCAUUCAGGACAUCACAUUGGUAGUGUGAAAUCAGCUAUGGUGGGACCAUUUACUCCACAGAAAUCAGGUGAUGCUAAAAAAUCAUGGCUUUUUUGUUUAUUUUUAGAGAAAGCUGGUAGUUAAAUAUUUAUCAGUAUCUCCUGCUUUGGAGGUAAGGUGGGCAGGCAGAGGGAAGCAGGGAGGUGUCAACUGCAGCCUCUCGGGGCUGGCAGAGCAGGCCAGCUCAAGGAAAAUCUGACUUGCUGCUGUGGCAGCUCAGCGCCACCCUGUGGCCAAAACUGAGAUGGGUGGCCUGGCUGACUAGUUUGUAUUAUGACAGCUCUUCUGUCUUGUGUGUGGGUGUCGAGUGGGUGUGUGUUGGGAUGGGACAGCAGGAAAAGAAGGCCUGGGGUUUCUGUGGACUCCUGCUCUCCUUCUAGAGCAAGCCCUAGGGCAGCCCACAGCUACCAAGAGACCCUUUCCUAGGUUCUGGGUAAAAGUGGGUACAGCUCUUUGAUGAGCCCAUAUCUGAGUGGCACGAGGGAGAGAAUGCUAGCUCAAUGAGGGCCCCAUGACCUGGCUGAAAGACAUCCUGCCUUGGAACCUGCCUUCGUAAUAGCACUCACACUGUAUAGCAGCCAGAAUUAAAAGGUAAUAGGUCUCUCAUUAUAUACUGGACAGUGGCCACUAGC
Equus caballus (horse) is the source of this 2672-nucleotide long non-coding RNA. Lineage: Eukaryota; Metazoa; Chordata; Mammalia; Perissodactyla; Equidae. The record is from Ensembl.